AUUCGAUUCCAUUCGAUGAUUCCAUUCGAUUCCAUUCGAUGAUGAUUCCAUUCGUUUCCAUUUGAUUAUUCCAUUCUAUUCCAUUCAGUGAUGAUUCCAUUAGAGUCAAUUCGAUGAUUCCGUUGGAGUCCAUUUGAUGAGGAUUCCAUUCAGUGAUUCCAUUCAAUUCUAUUUGAUAAUGAUUCCAAUCGAUUCCAUUCUAUGUUGAUUCCAUGGGAUUCCAUUCUAUGAUUUCAUUCGAUUGCAUUAGACAAUGACUCCAUUCGAUUCCAUUUGAUGAUUCCAUUCGAUUCUAUUUGAUGAUGAUUCCAUUCGAUUCCAUUUGAUGAUGAUUGCAUUCUAUUCAAUUCGAUGAUGAUUCCAUUCGUGUCCAUUAGAUGAUUCCAUACGAUUCCAUUCGAUGACGAUUCCAUUUGAUUCCAUUCGAUGAUGAUUCCAUUCGUGUCCAUUCGAUGAUUCCAUUCUUCUCCACUCGAUGAUGAUUACAUUCAAGUCUAUUCGCUGAUUCUAUUAGAGUCCAUUGAAUGAUUGCUUUUGAUUCCAUUCGAUGCUGAUUCCAUUCCAUUCCAUUCCAUUCCAUUCCAUUCGAUGAUGAUUCCAUUCGAUACCAUUCUAUGAUUCCUUUAGAUUCCAUUUCAUGCUGAUUCCAUUCAAUUUCAUUCAAAGAUUCUAUUCGAAUCCAUUCAAUGAUGAUUCCAUUCGAUUCCAUUUGAUGAUUCCAUUUGAUUUCAUUUGAUGAUGAUUCCAUUUGAUUCCAUUUGGUGAUUCCAUUCAAUGAUGGAUCCAUUCCAGUCCAUUCAAUGAUUCCUUUCUACUCUAUAUGAUGAUGAUUCCAUGCGAGGGCAUUCAAUGGUGAUUCCUUUGGAUACCAUUCGAUGAUUCCAUUCGAUUCCAUUCAAUGAUGAUUGCAUUCGAUUCCAUUCGAUGAUUCCAUUGGAUUCCAUUCAAAGAUGAUUCCAUUCGAUUCCAUUUGAUAAUUCCAUGCGAUUCCAUUUGAUCGUUCCAAUGGAUUCCAUUUGAUGAUGAUUCCAUUUGUGUCCAUUCGGUGAUUCCAUUCAAUUGCAUCAGAUGAUCAUUCCAUUCGAGUGAAUUCGAUGUUUCCAAUCAAUUCCAUUCAAUGAUGCUUCCAUUCGAGGCUGUCUGAUGACUCUAUUCAUUUCCAUUCUACAAUGAUUCCCUUUGAGUCCUUUUGAAGAUUUGAUUCGAGUCCUUUUGAUGAUCCCGUUCGAUUCCAUUCGAUGAUGAUUCCGUUCGAGUCCAUUUGACGCGUCCCUUGGAGUACAUUUGAUGAUUCCAUUCGAGUCUAGCUGAUGAUUCCAUUCAAUUCCAUUCUGUGAUGUUUCCGUAUGAUUCCAUUCGAUGAUGAUAACAUGUGAUUCCUUUCGAUGAUGAUUCAUUUUAAUUGCGUUUGAUUAUGAUUCAUUUCCAGUUCAUUCGAUGAUUCCACAUGAUUCCAUUCGAUGAUGAUUCCAUUCGAGUGUAUUUGAUGAUUCCUUACGAUUCCAUUAGAAGAUGAUUCCAUUUGAUUCCGUUCAUUGGUGAUCCCAUUCAAUUCCAUUCAAUGAUUCCAUUCCAUUCCAUUCAACAAUGAUUCCUUUUGAUUCCAUUUGAUGAUUCCUUCCACUUGAUUCCAUUUGUUGAUGAUUCCAUUCGAUUCCAUUCGAUGAUGAUUGCCUUCAAUUCCAUUCGAUGAUUCCAUUCGAUUCCAUUCGAUGACGAUUCGGUUUGAUUCCAUGGGAUGAUUCCAUUCGAGUCCAUUCGAUGAUUCCAUUCGAUUCCAUUUGAUGAUGAUUCCAUUUGAGUCCAUUCGAUGAUUCCAUUCGAGUCCAUUCAAUGAUUCCAUUCAUUCGUGUCCUUUAGAUGAUUCCAUUCGAGUCCAUUCAAUCAUUGCAUUCAAUUCCUUUCGAUGAUUCCAUUCGAUUCUAUUUGAUGUUUCCAUUCGAGUCCAUUUGUUCAUUCAUUCGUGUCCAUUCGAUGACUCCAUUCGAUUCCAUUUGAUGAUGAUCCCAUUUGAUGAUGAUUCCAUUCGAGUCCAUUUGAUGACUCCAUUUGAUUCCAUUCGAUGAUGAUUCCAUUCGUGUCCAUUCAAUGUUUUUGUUCUAUUCCAUUCAAUGAGUAUUCCCUUCAAAUCCAUUUGAUGAUUGUAUUCAAGUCCAUUCAGUGAUUGCUUUCGAUUCCAUUCGAUAUUGAUUCCCUUUGAUUCCAUUCGAUGAGGAUUCCAUUCGAUGUCAUUCUAGGAUUCCAUUCGAUUCCACUUGAUGUUGAUUGCAUUUGAUUCCAUUUGAUUAUUCUAUUCGAAUAUUUUUGAUGACGAUUCCAUUCGAUUCAAUUCAGUGAUUCCUGUUCAUUACAGUUGAUGAUGAUUCCUUUCGAUUCCUUUCGAUGAUUCCAUUUGAUUCCAAUCGAUGAUGUUUCCAUUCGAGUCCAUUCGAUGAUUCCAUUCGAUUCCAUUCAAUGAUGAUUCCAUUCGAGUCCAUUCAAUGGUGAUUCCAUUGGAUUCCAUUCGAUGAUUCCAUUCGAUUCCGUUCGAUGAUUGCAUUCGAUUCCAUUUGAUGAUUCCCUUCGUUUCCAUUCAAAGUUUAUUCCAUUCGAGUCCGUUUGAUAAUUCCAUUCGAUUCCAUUCUCCGAUGAUUCCAUUCGAGACCGUUCGAUGAUUCCAUUCAAUUCCCGUUGACGAUGAUUCCAUUCGAGUCCAUUCAAUGAUUUCAUUGGAUUCCAUUUGAUGAUGACUCCUUCCGGUUCCAUUCCAUGAUGAUUCCAUUCGGUUCCAUUAGAUAGUGAUUCCAUUCAAGUCCAUUCGAUGAUUCCAUUCGAUUCCAUUCGAUGAUGAUUCCGUUCCGGUCCAUUCGAUGAUUCCUUUCGAUUCCACUUGAUGUUGAUUCCAUUUGAGUCCAUUUGAUUGUUCCCUUUGAAUGCAUUCCAUGAUUCCUUUCGAUUCCAUUUGAUAUUGCUUCCAUUCGAGUCCAUUCGAUGAUUCCAUUUGAUUUCAUUCAAUGAUGAUUCGAUUCAAUUCCGUUCGAUGAUUCCAUUUGAUUCCAUUCGAUGACAACUCCAUUCGAGUCCAUUCGAUGAUUCCUUUCGAGUCCAUUUGAUGAUUCUAUUUGGUUCCAUUCGAUGAUGAUUCCUUUCAAUUCCAUUCGUUGGUGAUUCCAUUCGAUUCCAUUCGAUGAUGAUUCCAUUCAAUUGCAUUCGAUGAUGAUUCCAUUCGAUUCCAUUCGAUGAAGAUUCCAUGCGGUUUCAUUCGAUGAUUCUAUUCAAUUCCUUUCUAUGAUUAUUCAAUUCUUUUCCAUUUGAUGAUUCCAUGUGAUUCCAUUUGAUGAUGAUUCCAUUCGUUUGCAUUCGAUGAUGAUUCCAUUCAGGUCCAUUCAAAGAUUCCAUUGGAUUCCAUUCUAUGAUGAUUGCAUUCGAGUUCAUUUGAUGAUUCCAUUCGACUCCAUUCGAUGAUGAUUUCAUUCGUUGAUCUUCAAUGAUUCCAUUCGAUUCUAUUUGCUGAUGAUUCCAUUCGACUCCAUUCAAUGAUUCCAUUCGAUUCCAUUCAAUGAGGAUUCCAUUCGAGUCCAUUUGAUGAUUCUGUUCAAUUCCAUUCGAUGAUGAUUCCUCUCAAAUCCAUUUGAUGAUUCCAUUCGAGUACAUUCGAUUAUUCCAUUUGAUUUUAUUCGAUGAUGAUUCCAUUCGAUGCCAUUCGAUGAUUCCGUUCGAUUCCAUUCAAUGGUGAUUCCAUUCGAUGCCAUUCGAUGAUUCCAUUCAAUCCUAUUUGAUGAUGAUUCCAUCCGUGUCCAUUCGAUGAUUCCGUUCGUUUCCAUUCGAUGAUGAUUCCAUUUGAAUCCAUUCGAUGAUUCCUAUCGAUUCCAUUCGAUGACUCCGUUCAAUCCCAUUCGAUGUUUCCCUUCGAUUGUCUUUGAUGAUCAUUCCAUUCGAUUCAAUUUGGUGAUUCCAUUCGAUGAUGAUUCCGUUCGAUUCCAUUCGAUGAGGAUUCCAUUCGAUUCCAUUUGAUGAUGAUUCCAAUCGAUUCCAUUUGACGAUGAUUCCAUUCGAGUCCAUUUGAUGAUUCCAUUCGAUUCCAUUUGAUGAUGAUUCCACUCAAGCCCAUUCGAUUAUUCCAUUCGAGUC
This 4110-nucleotide long non-coding RNA is filed under the name Homo sapiens (human). Its description in RNAcentral is "HSALNT0304211". Lineage: Eukaryota; Metazoa; Chordata; Mammalia; Primates; Hominidae. The record is from RNAcentral.